CCUCGCAGGCUCCAUGGAGCUGCUUGGUGCCAACUGGGAUACAACUCUGUAUCAUCAGAAACAUUGUCUAACUGGGGCUAUCAAUGCGAUCCGCGGUUCUUCUAUCUUGCCGUCUAGUCCAACGCCGUCUCCUCGUCUUUCCAAGAGGAGUCGGGGUUCCAUGGCCUUGAUUCUUCCAGAUAUACGCACUUGUCUGGUUCUGUCCGAUUCACGUCCUGUUUUUAGUCGUAAAUCCAGCUGCUUAUGCCGCAAUCACUCCAACGAAGAGAAUCCUGAUUUCAUUCUAGAUUAUUCAUAUACAACCAACUAUCCAACC
This 316-nucleotide small RNA is filed under the name Histoplasma capsulatum var. duboisii H88. Its description in RNAcentral is "Histoplasma capsulatum H88 hypothetical RNA". Lineage: Eukaryota; Fungi; Ascomycota; Eurotiomycetes; Onygenales; Ajellomycetaceae. The record is from RNAcentral.